RNAcentral lists this ribosomal RNA (504 nucleotides) under uncultured bacterium. RNAcentral's name for it is "bacterial SSU rRNA". It matches the Rfam family "Bacterial small subunit ribosomal RNA", at positions 29 to 527 of the family's 1533-position model. The record is from RNAcentral.
AGCGAACGUUAGCGGCGGGCUUAACACAUGCAAGUCGAGCGAGAAAGGGGCUUCGGCCCUGAGUACAGCGGCGGACGGGUGAAUAACACGUAGGUAACCUUCCUUUCAGCGGGGGACAACGGUCCGAAAGGACCCGCUAAUACCGCAUACGUUCCCUGGGACCUCGGUCCUGGGGAGGAAAGGCCCGCAAGGGCCACUGGAUGAGGGGCCUGCGUAGCAUCAGCUAGUUGGUGGGGUAAUGGCCUACCAAGGCGAAGACGCUUAGCUGGUCUGAGAGGAUGAUCAGCCACACUGGGACUGAGACACGGCCCAGACUCCUACGGGAGGCAGCAGUGGGGAAUAUUGGACAAUGGGCGCAAGCCUGAUCCAGCCACGCCGCGUGAGUGAUGAAGGCCUUCGGUCGUAAAGCUCUGUGGGGAGGACGAACGGCGCCAUGAAGAGUGGCGAUUGACGGUACCUCCUUAGCAAGCACCGGCUAACUCGUGCAGCAGCCGCGGUAUCUAC